Vicugna pacos (alpaca) is the source of this 2642-nucleotide non-coding RNA. The record is from RefSeq and is a predicted model, not a curated record. Lineage: Eukaryota; Metazoa; Chordata; Mammalia; Artiodactyla; Camelidae.
GGCUUCCAGGACGCGGGUCUGCGCCCGCGUGCUCCCCGCCCCUCUGCUGGCUCAUGCAUUCGUUCAGUCCGCGGGUACUUUAUCCUGCGCCUUCUUGUGUCGGGCCUGUGCCAGAGUUUGGGACGAGACACACGGGAGAGCAAAACCCAUUGUCUCUCCUCCCAAGUUUAAAUUCCAGGGGGCAGGCAGCCGAGUCAAUACACGAAUAAAUGAAUAAUACAAAUAGCGAUAUGGGCUUUGAAGGAACAAAACGGAGGAUUAACAAGACAUGAAUGCAAUUUGGAAGACAGGGACCUCUGAAGAGGGAAAAAUCUCGAGAAGAAAAAGAGGACAAGUAAUGAGUCUUGGUGAACAGAACUUUAAAAGUUGGAGAGAGGAGGAGGAAUCUGAGAAGGCAGAGCCAGAAAGAAAAGAAAGGGCCAUAUCACCUGAGGGUAAGGAGAAGGGAGUGGGAUGUUUAGGAGAGAGAAUGUAUAAAAUCAACAUCUUUGCAACUGGAAAAUUUGGUUUUCUAAAGAAAACUAAUCAGUGGGACUUCUGGGCACUAUUAAGAGCUCAUUUGGUUUUUGACAUCAUGGAAAUAAAAUAAUUGAAGAUAUUUGACCGUUCAGGUGCGGAGAGGACAGGUUGUUGAAUUCAUCUGAGACGGGGGUUUUGCCAGGCAAGUACAACAGAGUGGAAGAAGGACUAAGGGAAUGUUUGCAAGAGAAUGUUUAUGAUGAUGUAUGCAGAAUCAAAGUCAUGCAGAAAAGCAAAUGGUGGUAUGUGAGGGCUGAUAGCGGAGAGGUGGAGGGGAGCUGGGAAAGGGGCCAAGGUAUUAGAAGCAUUGGUGUCCAAGAAUGGUUGCAGUGAAAUAUUUGAGCAUGUGAGUGGGCAGUACAAAUGCUAGUGGUCUGAGUCGGGUAUUUGGAACCGAAGUGUCAGAGGUUGAGAGUUUCUGCUGAUGCUAAAGUCCAGGGUAAGCCUAAGGGAAUGGAAGACUGAAGCAGAUGCACACCCCGUUAGAACUGACAGGCUAGGGUGUUCAAUUUAUUAUCCAAGUAGAAGUUUAAGUGAGCUAGUAUUGGCAUGAAGAGAGAGACUACAAGAGAGGAACUAAGUUGUUGAGGACAGAAUGCAGGAAUGUUGGCAAAUGAUACAAACAGGAGGGGUGGAUGGUGGUCUAGCCUUCCUUUUGGCGACUGCCACUCUCCUUUUCCCUGUCUGACCCCUUUCCUCUUCCCUCACGCAGUAUGUUCAGCCUCUUCUCCAUCAUUUCCCCCAUCUCCUCCUCUUUUUUAUUUACUUACUCCCAAUCCUCCACCCCGCCUUUUCCCAUUUCUAACUUCCUCCCCUUCUCCCAUCUAUUUCUCCUUUCCUGUUCUUCUCCCAUCCUCUUUCUUUGCACCUCUAAUCCCUUCUCCCUUAAAUUCCUACUUCCUACCUUUCCCUCCCCACCAUGGAAGAAGGAAUGGAAUAGCUCAAUUAUCACAGCUAGAGAAAUCUUAUCAUUGAUAACUUAUUAUUCAUAUUGCUUCAAAAUGUUCCCUUUUUGCUUUUUUAUUGAGCCCUGUCAUAAUUACUGUCUUAUUGAUUUAGUGUCAUUGCUAUACUAAUAUACUCAUCUUACAGAUGAAACCAAAGCCAAAAGUUCUCCAAGGACAGCCAGCCAGUAAGUAGCGGGAGCUGAAAUUCAGGGCUUCUGAAUCCUAGCCUCGUGUUGUUGUUGUUGGCAUUAUCUCAUUUAAAAGCAGAGCAUACCAAGGUUGAAGGAAUUGUAGAGUUCCUAAGUCCAAAGUCUUCAUGUUAUCAAAGGGCAACAGGUAAGAAAGUAAGUUCCUUGUCCAAGAUCUUUUCUCACUUUAAUACAACAGAUGUUUGGAUUCAGGGAGGAUUAAUAGACAGGGGCAUGUGACCAAGAUUAGGGAGACCUAUGUUUAAGUCCCUAUGCUACCAAUAAAUCACUAUAACCUUGGGAAACUCCUGUGAAUCUCUGAACUUCAGUUUUUCAUCUUUCAACUAGGACGUGGAGAGAAGGGUAAAAUGAAAGCAUUGGUCUAGAUGACCUCAAACCAUCCUACGAUGUUAAGUAUUUUGGAUGAGAAAAGAGGCAGUUAUCCAACUGCUGCUGCUACGCCUCUUGAGGGCAUGUCCCUGGUGCCUAGCACCAGGAUUUGCAAACUUUUUCUGUAAAGAGCCAGAUAAUAAAUCCUUUAGGUUUUGUGGGCCAUACCAUCUCUGUUGCAGCUACACAACUUUGUUAUUAUAGUACGAAAGCAGCCUCAGACAAUACGUAAACAAAUGAACGUGAUUAUGUUCCAAAAAACCAUUUCUAUGGACACUUAAAUUUGAAUUUCACUUAUUUUGCACAUAUCCCCAAAUGUUACUCUUUCUUUUAUUUUUUUUCAUCCAUUUAAAAAUACAAAAACCAUUGUUGGCUUCUAGUUUGUACUAAAACAGGUGCCCACAGGCUACAGCUGCUCCUGCCUGGCACAGUGCCUGAUGUUAGAAAUCCAGUCUGAGCUUGGAGGAAGUCUUCAACCCUCCACCUGCCAGGGAGGAGGAGCUAGGACGUAUGUCAGCUGAAAAUAAGUACAACUGGUCAUAUUACUAAGAGGUAGUAGGAGUACAAAAGAAGCCAUAUUAAAGCAAAUAUGCCUCUU